UACGGAGGGUGCGAGCGUUGUCCGGAAUCACUGGGCGUAAAGGGCGCGUAGGCGGUGCCAUAAGCGUGCGGUGAAAGCCUGGGGCUCAACCCCCGGGUCGGCCGUGCGAACUGUGGGACUCGAGCACUGUAGGGGCAGGCGGAAUUCCGGGUGUAGCGGUGGAAUGCGUAGAGAUCCGGAAGAACACCGGUGGCGAAGGCGGCCUGCUGGGCAGUGGCUGACGCUGAGGCGCGACAGCGUGGGGGAGCAAACAGG
This 255-nucleotide ribosomal RNA is filed under the name uncultured bacterium. RNAcentral describes it as "partial 16S ribosomal RNA". It matches the Rfam family "Bacterial small subunit ribosomal RNA", at positions 524 to 776 of the family's 1533-position model. The record is from RNAcentral.